AGACAGAAUGAAUGAAAUUGUGUGAUUCAGAUGACUGGCAUGCUGGGGCUAUCAUCCUGAUUCCCUCUGCUACUAUAACAUCAUUUAACCUAGACGAAACUCCUGGAGGAUAUUCUCUGAUUUUAACAAAAAAGAGUUAGAAAAAGCGUUUAUGUUUUGUUUUGUUUUGUUUAAAAAAAAAAAAAGGUUCAGAAAGCCCACCAAGGCCUGGAACAGGAGCAAAAGUAAUCCAAAGGUGUGACUACUAUCUAGCCAGCCUGGAGGUCUUCCUCCUGAUCAUCAUCUUCCUGAUUCUUGGGACUCUGGAACCUGCUGUUUUCCCUUACCUUCCAGAAUGUUCUGUUCACUGAUAACCCUUGAACAAGUUACUUGACUAUGCAGGCAGUAUCUGCUCUGUACUAAUCAGGACUCUUUGGGAUCUGCCAUCUCAUCUUCUGGACUGAUCUUCUCCACAAAGCAGGAAGCAGCACCACAGUUCACAUCUCCUGAGUUUGACACCAGAGAAUAUCUCAGACUUCUCACUAGAGCUGAGUUCAAAACGACUCAGGCUGGCACGCUUCAAUCCUCUCGACUUUAGAUCAACUUUAGAUGUCAUUGCUUCCAGGAACCACACGUGAAGACUUGUCUUCAGAUUACCCAGUGAAACCACAGAAGAAAUGGAGAGGUCAGAGUUCCAACAAGCAGGAUCAUCAAGAAGAGAGGAUAUUUUCUCUGCUGGGUUCAUAAGAUAGUUUUGCAAUCCUACCAAGUAGGGAGGCUGGUGAAUUCAAAGAAGACAAAUCUAUCUAUCUUUGUGCUAAUUCUGAUUUUGAAAAAAACCUAUUUAGAGACAUAUGGCAAUUUAAGAAAGCAGGAAACCAAAGAACCUGGCAUUCUUGGAACAACAGAUAAAAAGCUCCUUAAAAGUUAACAAGGCAAAGAUGAAUGUGGAUUCUAACACGUGAAGUUAGCAGUAUUUCAUGAUUUGGCUCUGCCGGAAGUUAUUAUACCAGAAUAGAGCCAAAAUGGAAACUUGCUUUGAUCUACAGUUCCCAGUAAAAGAAAUCUAAAAUUA
Pan troglodytes (chimpanzee) is the source of this 1054-nucleotide long non-coding RNA. RefSeq lists it as uncharacterized. The transcript has 4 exons. The record is from RefSeq and is a predicted model, not a curated record. Lineage: Eukaryota; Metazoa; Chordata; Mammalia; Primates; Hominidae.